AGAGUUUGAUCCUGGCUCAGGACGAACGCUGGCGGCGUUAACACAUGCAAGUCAAGGGGGCCCAGCAAUGGGCAACCGGCGAACGGGUGCGUAACACGUGAGCAAUCUGCCGUUCUUGUGGGGGAUAGCCGGCCCAACGGCCGGGUAAUACCGCAUACGCUCUUUUAGAGACAUCUCUUUUAGAGGAAACCCUUCGGGGGCAAGACGAGGAGCUCGCGGCCUAUCAGCUAGUUGGUGGGGUCAAGGCCCACCAAGGCGACGACGGGUAGCUGGUCUGAGAGGAUGGCCAGCCACAUUGGGACUGAGAGACGGCCCAGACUCCUACGGGAGGCAGCAGUGGGGAAUCUUGCGCAAUGGCCUAACGGCUGACGCAGCGACGCCGCGUGUGGGAUGACGCCCUUCGGGGUGUAAACCACUGUUGCCCGGGACGAAGAGCGGACUUUAGUCCGCCUGACGGUACCGGGUGAGGAAGCACCGGCUAACUCCGUGCCAGCAGCCGCGGUAAUACGGAGGGUGCGAGCGUUGUCCGGAAUCACUGGGCGUAAAGGGCGCGUAGCGGCUCGUUAAGGGUGCGGGAAAGCCCGGGGCUUAACCCCGGGUCGGCCGUGCCGACUGAUGAGCUCGAGCACUGUAGAGGCAGGUGGAAUUCCGGGUGUAGCGGUGGAAUGCGUAGAGAUCCGGAAGAACCCAGUGGCGAAGCNNNNNNCUGGGCAGUNNCUGACGCUGAGGCGCGACAGCGUGGGGANNAAACAGGAUUAGAUACCCUAGUAGUCC
Molecule: ribosomal RNA, 774 nt
Filed under: uncultured bacterium
Lineage: Bacteria
Description: bacterial SSU rRNA
Rfam family: Bacterial small subunit ribosomal RNA
Source: RNAcentral